UAUUGGUCAAUGGUCGGGAGACUGAACCAGCCAAGCCGCGUGAGGGAUGAAGGUACAGAGUAUCGUAAACCUCCUUUGUCAGGGAACAAAGGCGGGGACGCGUCCCCGGAUGAGUGUACCUGAAGAAAAAGCAACGGCGACAUCCGUGCCAGCAGCCGCGGUAAUACGGAGGAUGCGAGCGUUAUCCGGAUUUAUUGGGUUUAAAGGGUGCGUAGGCGGGCUUUUAAGUCAGCGGUAAAAAUUCGGGGCUCAACCCCGUCCGGCCGUUGAAACUGGGGGCCUUGAGUGGGCGAGAAGAAGGCGGAAUGCGUGGUGUAGCGGUGAAAUGCAUAGAUAUCACGCAGAACCCCGAUUGCGAAGGCAGCCUUCCGGCGCCCUACUGACGCUGAGGCACGAAAGUGCGGGGAUCG
This 410-nucleotide ribosomal RNA is filed under the name uncultured bacterium. RNAcentral describes it as "bacterial SSU rRNA". It matches the Rfam family "Bacterial small subunit ribosomal RNA", at positions 362 to 770 of the family's 1533-position model. The record is from RNAcentral.